GAUGAAGAACGCAGCGAAAUACGAUAAUUAAUGUGAAUUGCAGAAUUCCGUGAAUCAUCGAGUCUUUGAACGCACAUUGCGCCUCAUGGCAUUCCGUGAGGCAUGCCCAUCUCAGCGUUAGAAAAUAUUCUCAAAUUUUAGUUUUGUGCUAAAAUUUGGAUCAUGUCAAGGAAGCUAUUACUAUUAUUGUGAUCGCUCUUUGGAAAUUGAUAGGUCUUUGAGUUGCUACUCAUAGAACGUGAUGAAUCUUUCUUCGUUCUAUUGUAAUUCACUCUGGUAGUCCUAAAACUUGUAUGCCUGUGGCAUAUCUUGUAAUUUGACCUGAGAUUGGGUAGGGAUACCCGCUGAACUUAAGCAUAUCAAUAAGCGGAGGA
Molecule: unclassified non-coding RNA, 374 nt
Filed under: soil metagenome
Description: partial contains internal transcribed spacer 2 and large subunit ribosomal RNA
Rfam family: 5.8S ribosomal RNA (bases 1-120)
Source: RNAcentral